Molecule: ribosomal RNA, 491 nt
Filed under: uncultured bacterium
Lineage: Bacteria
Description: partial 16S ribosomal RNA
Rfam family: Bacterial small subunit ribosomal RNA
Source: RNAcentral
GUGAACGCUGGCGGUAGGCCUAACACAUGCAAGUCGAACGGCAGCACAGUAAGAGCUUGCUCUUACGGGUGGCGAGUGGCGGACGGGUGAGGAAUACAUCGGAAUCUACUUUUUCGUGGGGGAUAACGUAGGGAAACUUACGCUAAUACCGCAUACGACCUACGGGUGAAAGCAGGGGAUCUUCGGACCUUGCGCGAUUGAAUGAGCCGAUGUCGGAUUAGCUAGUUGGCGGGGUAAAGGCCCACCAAGGCGACGAUCCGUAGCUGGUCUGAGAGGAUGAUUAGCCACACUGGAACUGAGACAGGGUCCAGACUCCUACGGGAGGCAGCAGAGGGGAAUAUUGGACAAUGGGCGCAAGCCUGAUCCAGCCAUACCGCGUGGGGGAAGAAGGCCUUCGGGUUGUAAAGCCCUUUUGUUGGGAAAAAAAAGCAGCAGGUUAAUACCCCGCUGUUCUGACGGUACCCAAAGAAUAAGCACCGGCUAACUUCGUG